UGGGGAAUAUUGGACAAUGGGCGCAAGCCUGAUCCAGCCAUGCCGCGUGAGUGAUGAAGGCCCGAGGGUUGUAAAGCUCUUUCACCGGUGAAGAUAAUGACGGUAACCGGAGAAGAAGCCCCGGCUAACUUCGUGCCAGCAGCCGCGGUAAUACGAAGGGGGCUAGCGUUGUUCGGAUUUACUGGGCGUAAAGCGCACGUAGGCGGACUAUUAAGUCAGGGGUGAAAUCCCGGGGCUCAACCCCGGAACUGCCUUUGAUACUGGUAGUCUUGAGUUCGAGAGGGGUGAGUGGAAUUCCUAGUGUAGAGGUGGAAUUCGUAGAUAUUCGGAGGAACACCAGUGGCGAAGGCGGCUCACUGGCUCGAUACUGACGCUGAGGUGCGAAAGCGUGGGGAGCAAACAGC
Molecule: ribosomal RNA, 404 nt
Filed under: Actinomycetes bacterium
Lineage: Bacteria; Bacillati; Actinomycetota; Actinomycetes
Description: Actinobacteria bacterium partial 16S ribosomal RNA
Rfam family: Bacterial small subunit ribosomal RNA
Source: RNAcentral